This is a long non-coding RNA of Pyrus x bretschneideri (Chinese white pear), 420 nucleotides long. RefSeq lists it as uncharacterized. The record is from RefSeq and is a predicted model, not a curated record. NCBI's taxonomy places the organism in Eukaryota, Viridiplantae, Streptophyta, Magnoliopsida, Rosales, Rosaceae. The transcript has 3 exons.
CCACCACUCUGUCAAACACACGAACUUUAAAUGUGAGGAUCCUAGGCAUAAACAAGUAGCUCUUAAAAAAAAGGGGAAUAAGUCGAUCGAGCACUUACGAAAUGGCUGAGCAGUACAACAACUUUGUCUCCGACUUUGAACUUUUUGGCACCUUGUCCAACUUCUACAACCUCUCCGGCCACAUCAGUUACUGGUCAUGCAUGACGCGAGAGAUCGAAGAGAAUAAAUAACAGAAUCCUACAAAUCCGUCUACCCACACAACGCCCGAAAUGCGUUCCAUGUACUUGAGGGAAUUUUCUGGGGAAAAGAGGCCGCAGCUCGCCUUUCUGAAUUUUCCAAUCAACUGGAUUGAGACUAGCUGCUUCCAAUUUCAGCAAAACCUCAUUCUUCUUAGGGGCGGGAAUCGGAACCUCAACAUGC